Molecule: long non-coding RNA, 319 nt
Organism: Thalassophryne amazonica
Lineage: Eukaryota; Metazoa; Chordata; Actinopteri; Batrachoidiformes; Batrachoididae
Exons: 3
Source: RefSeq, a predicted model, not a curated record
CCUUUCCCUACCUGACGCUCUGCCGCAUCAGUCUAGUCAAGAUGAUAACUUUGCCUAAAUUUUUGUACCUUUUUCAAACCAUUCCCAUUUUUAUUCCAGGGUCAUUCUUUGUGAAGCUGGACUCCAUCAUCUCAUCUUAUUUGUGGCAGGGGAAGCGCCCAUCCUUAAGUAAGACACACCUUCAAAAAACUAAGGCCGCUGGUGGCCUCGCUCUGCCAAAUUUCUGCUUCUAUUAUUGGGCAGCAAAUUUGCGUUGUCUUGCAUUCUGGUCAUUCUGUUACAAUAAACCUGACUGCCCUGACUGGGUGGCGAUGGAGUC